This 211-nucleotide ribosomal RNA is filed under the name uncultured fungus. Its description in RNAcentral is "partial small subunit ribosomal RNA". The stretch from base 85 to 211 matches the Rfam family "Eukaryotic small subunit ribosomal RNA", at positions 734 to 863 of the family's 1831-position model. The record is from RNAcentral. Lineage: Eukaryota; Fungi.
GGCCGAAUCGACUGGUCGGUCAUUGACUUGUACCAGGAGGGGCGGUCUUACCUUCUGGGUCUCAAUGUAUUCUUUAUUGGGUGCAUUUGGGUUCCAGGACAUUUACCUUGAAAAAAUUAGAGUGCUCAAGGCAGGCUUACGCUUGAAUAGAUUAGCAUGGAAUAACAGAAUAGGACUUUGGUUCUAUUUUGUUGGUUUGAGGACCAAAGUA